CCUACGGGUGGCAGCAGUGAGGAAUAUUGGUCAAUGGGCGCGAGCCUGAACCAGCCAAGUAGCGUGAGGGAUGACUGUCCUACGGGUUGUAAACUUCUUUUAUCAAGGAAUAAAGUGAGGCACGUGUGCCUUUUUGUGUGUACUUUAUGAAUAAGGAUCGGCUAACUCCGUGCCAGCAGCCGCGGUAAUACGGAGGAUCCGAGCGUUAUCCGGAUUUAUUGGGUUUAAAGGGUGCGUAGAUGGGUUGUUAAGUCAGUUGUGAAAGUUUGCGGCUCAACCGUAAAAUUGCAAUUGAUACUGGCAGUCGUGAGUACAUGUGAGGUAGGCGGAAUUCGUGGUGUAGCGGUGAAAUGCAUAGAUAUCACGAAGAACUCCGAUUGCGAAGGCAGCUUACUAGACUGCCACUGACAUUGAUGCACGAAAGUGUGGGUAUCGAACAGGAUUAGAUACCCUUGUAGUC
Molecule: ribosomal RNA, 460 nt
Filed under: uncultured bacterium
Lineage: Bacteria
Description: partial 16S ribosomal RNA
Rfam family: Bacterial small subunit ribosomal RNA
Source: RNAcentral